UUCUCCAGUUGCCACUCCAAUGAUGUUUAAUGCAGUUCCUGGGCACCUAACAGUCCAGGCAAACUGGCACCUAGAAGUAAUUAUUUCAGAAGGUAUCUUUUAAAUCAUCAGCACAUCCCUGCCAAGCACUGUCACUUCUACUCAUUGGGUCAUGGAAAAAUGCACAAAACAUAAAUACACAUUACUAAGCAAGAGAAGCCAGUUGGAAAGAGACUGUGCCAUGUGAUUGAAGCUCGAUUACUCUGGAAAAGGUGUGCCUAGCUCGCAGCCACAAAUGGAUCCCACUGCCACUGAGCCGAUCAGAACCAUCCACCCAGCUUGGAGACUUCCCCAGACCUCCCUACGGUUUUAACCCCCCCCACCCCCGCAGUUUCUAGCUGCAUGCAUGGAACGGCCCAGUUUGUGGCCUACCCAUGCCAGAAUGCCUCCUGCCCUUGGGCAGAGGAGGCCUUGGGAGUAGGCCAUAGCUUUCAGCAGGGUCAGAAGCUUUCCCUGGCCGCAGCAGCUGUAAAGCCAUACCUUUGUUAGUAGUUGCGGCUGCAAGGCAGUACACUUUCACCUAAAGCGCAGCUGCCUGUGUGACCUCAGCUCUACCAUCGCCGCUGCCAUCUUGCCUGACCCACCAUUGCCAGAAGCCGCACAGACUAGCUGAAUGCCUGUGCCACCUGCUAGUCAAAGAUACUUAAUGCAUCUGGAGUAGAAAUCAGAUAAAAUCAUG
Cricetulus griseus (Chinese hamster) is the source of this 718-nucleotide non-coding RNA. Lineage: Eukaryota; Metazoa; Chordata; Mammalia; Rodentia; Cricetidae. The record is from RefSeq and is a predicted model, not a curated record.